RNAcentral lists this long non-coding RNA (767 nucleotides) under Marmota monax (woodchuck). Lineage: Eukaryota; Metazoa; Chordata; Mammalia; Rodentia; Sciuridae. The record is from RNAcentral.
CCCCAGUCCUUUUUAUUUAUUUCUUAAAAAUUUAAGACAGGGUAUAGGCAAAUUGCUGAGGCUGGCCUUGAACUCACCUUUCUCUGCCUCCCCAGUCACUGGGAUUACUGGCCUCUGCCACAGCCCUGGGAAAUAAUGAUGAAUUAUUAACGGCAAUAGAGUGUGUAUGAAUGGUUUUAAGCAAGAGCGCAAUCAGAAGCCAGUUUAAAUGCAUUAGAAUUCAGACUCCAGGAGGAACAGAAAUAAAGGUCUUCUUUCGAAGAUUCCAUUUCCCUUGUAAAUCCCAAAGGAUCAAUCCUGUCUGGGGAGGCUGUCUCCUACACACAAGAUGUGGCUCUCUUUUAACCUUGUUACCCUCAUGUGACUGAGUUCCUCCUGGCAGCCUCUCCUUCCCACAUCCAGCUUCAAGUGGGACACAACAUUUCUCUGAGGUUUCUAAAAAUAAUCCUUGCAUCAGUUCUAGCUAUGGAGUACUAUGCAGCUGUCAAAAGAAUAAGGACAAUCUCUGCACUGGAGAUGAUUGUCAGGAAGUUUUUUUGUUUUGUUUUAUUUGCAUUUGUGGGAAUUAAACUCGGGGCAUCCCAAAUGUGAGUCAAGUGCUCUCCUGAGACCAACCUACUUCCUAGCCCCCCGCCUUUUAAAUAUUUUUUAGUUGUCACUGGACCUUUAUUUAAUUAAUUAAUUUAUAUGCAGUGCUGAGAAUCGAACCCAGUGCCUCACACAUGCUAAGUGAGUUCUCUAUCACUGAGUCACAACCCCAGUCCCCC